GUCUUUGUCUUUCUCCUCAUAGGUUCAUUCCAUCCUCUUGGUAUCCUUCGCUUCCUUUGGUGGUGGAGGAGGGUGGGAGCUGUGACUUGAAAACUCUGGAGUGAGGGGAAAUGCUUGUUUUCCCAUGUACUGGAGCCAAGGAACUGUCAGGCCUGGAGGUCCUGCUGCGAAGAAGGUGGCUGUCCCUCAUCUCCCUGGCUGUGUGAAGCAGGCAGCUCUGCUCGGCCAGCAGUGACAUGGAUGGGCUGUGCAGCCCGGCCUGAGCCCCCGCCUUGCAAAAGCCACCAGAGACCCAUGGAGGGAAAUGGGAACGUUGAAACAAACAGAAUUUUGAAGCUGUGUCAGUGUUUGGAGGAAAUUAGACAUGCCUGAUCAUAGUGGCCCAUGAUGUUGUGACAGGAGAGAGAAAUACUGCCCGACCGUCUCGGUUGCAAUGGACCUUUGGAGGAUGAAGAGCACAGAACAACUGCAGAUCGCAGUUGUUACUCACAUGGUUGACAGUUGCAUGUGCACCUCUGGGGAUGGGGUUGGGCCUAUUGGUGUGGUUUUCUGCUGCCUAGUCCCACGUUUCAGGUUUAAUGCCUGCCUUGUAGGGUUUGCUCAGGAAUAUUGUUUCUUAUCAUAACCCUGUUUGCAUCAAAACCAAGCAAGCGGCAGCAUCUACUGCUGGGGAUAGAGGGAGAACUGCAGGCUGUGCCGUCCCAUGGCACACAUCUGGAUGUCAGCAGUGGAAACUCAUGAAAGCCAAUCCAUCUCCGUAAGUGUGCAAAGUGCUGCAGAGGCAUGGUACUGCAGUGAGUAACUUCGGUAGGAGAGCUGCGUCUUGCCUAAAGAAUUGAACAAACCGUGGUAGUCCAAUGUCUUCCUCUGGUGUCUGCUGUGCUCCAUGAGCAGAUGAUGAGAGCACAAAGCAAGGAUUCACCCAGCUGGGUUGGCUGUUUCUUUGCAGGUGGCCGUGGCAAUGCGUUGGGAGGGUCCCCCAGGCUCCAGAAGAUGCACGUUGCUCUUCCCCCGCUGCCCUGAAGACAUGGCCAGGCUUCCAUUAAAACACAGACAAAAUCACUUUUCUCUGGGCUGGAAUAGGGCCCGGGGCAUGGUCCUGGCUGCUGCUCUGCCCCUGGGGAUGCGAGCAUGGUACAGUGAGCUCUGAUAAGCAAGCACAGCAUCUCGGGCUGUGUUGAGCGGAAGCAUUUUAAUUUGCAUUAUUAAAAUGUUCUGCAUGGUGUUUAAUGCUAGGGAUGUAAUUUGGUAAACAGCCUUGUAAUUGAUGCCCAAAUAUUACUUGGCAGUUUGGCUCCUCUGUGACAAAUGGAACUGAUGGGGACACAAUGCCAUACCUUCUUCUUGCUCCUCCCACCAUCUGCCUGAAUAUUCGUCUGAGCACGUAAAAAACAGCAUUAAUGUCCAUAAGAACUGGCCCAUCUCAUCAAGUUAAAUAUGAACCAUGUCAGAACAAUUACAAGAGAACAGGGCAAAAAUUGCUUAACCAUAUAGCACUCAUCAUUAAUAGCUAGUUAUUGGCACAACUGAUGUGUAUGACUAUCACACACUGCACUGAUCCAGUACAUAAAUGUUUUCUUUAGCAUAUUUUUAAUGUUGCUAAUUUAUCUGUUACUGUCACACUGGGGCUGUUAGCUUUGAACAAAUGACUGUUAUUAAUCACUGGAGAGCUAUUAGACGCCACAGCCGCGGUGCUAAAUCAACUCAGGAGUGGCACUUGUAGGAAUAUUCAAACAGCAAUGUAAAAUUGCCUGGGUACUGAUGGUGUGGUUAACGCCUCUGGGAUCACAGCCAUGGAGUGCUGCAAAGACUGCUCCUGUGUGUCAGACUCACCCGGUGGAAAUUCCUUUCUCCAAAGAGCGAUUGCAGCUUAAGACCUUAUUUAUUACAAGGUUGUUUUGGAGGGGAGGGGGAAAAAAAGGCAACUGUUGGAGUAGAGCAGUGUGGUGUUUGCACUCAGGCUUUUCUUGUGAUAGAUGUGGGACUCCAGCAGCAGCAGUGCCUUUAAUCUCCCCGU
Gallus gallus (chicken) is the source of this 2017-nucleotide long non-coding RNA. The record is from Ensembl. NCBI's taxonomy places the organism in Eukaryota, Metazoa, Chordata, Aves, Galliformes, Phasianidae.